This is a long non-coding RNA of Hipposideros armiger (great roundleaf bat), 3227 nucleotides long. RefSeq lists it as uncharacterized. The transcript has 3 exons. Lineage: Eukaryota; Metazoa; Chordata; Mammalia; Chiroptera; Hipposideridae. The record is from RefSeq and is a predicted model, not a curated record.
GGAGAGGGUGGGUGCCCAUCGGGCCCACACAGCCGUCACAUCGGGUGUGAGCAGCCUGGCCCUCACUGCUCACCCCGGGCAGCUCCCAUUCCAGGCUCCUUCCAACCUCCCCCAUGGGCUCAGGCAAGCUCAGACGCCCCUGCUGCUCAGGGGGCAGCUAGUAAGUAAGCACAGGUAAUAGUUAAGUAUGGGGGGCUCUGGGUUCAGACCCCUGCUGUGAUACAUCUUGUCUGGAUGAGCUUGGGCCACUGACUUUGCCUCUUUGAGUCUUAACUUCCUCAUCAGUAAAAUGGGAAUCGGUUUUUGUCCAGGUUCCCUAGAGGCACAGCCUGAGACAAGGAUUCAGGGGCGCAUGAUUUAUCAGGGGGCUGGGGGCAGGGGGUAGAUCUCUGAAGCAUUAACGGCUCCAUAGUUGGUCCCACUCAGAAAUGAGGGGGCUGGUCUUUAGUAGGCGUUUCCUGGCACUGGCUUCAGGCUCAUCCCCAGGGGAGAGGGAGGACCUGCCCUGGCAGCACUCAGAAGGGGCUGCUGGGAGCUGUUAGCAGCCACCGCUCACAGCAGCCAGGGGAUGGUUACACCCCUCGGGAGGGGGAUGUGGGUGGGGCACCACAGUACCCUCUACACCACAGACACUUGUCACAUCUACUCUCAGGGAGGCUGCUCUAAGGAUCAACGAGGUGUCAAGUUGUUAGAACAAGACCUGGCAGAGGAAGGACUCAUCCCCCCACCUGACAGAUACGAGGUGGAAAUGGAGGCUUAGAGAACAGAAGUAACUGGACUGAGGUGGCAUAAAUGGCAAGUGGCAGAGCCGGGCUCUUAACCUGCCUCGAGGUCCAAAUCUAACAGCAGGAUGCACCGUCACCAUUGUCCACAUGGAGAAACUGAGGCGGAGUGGCCAGCACCUGUCCCAGCACCUGUUACCUUGGACUUCAUUAUUCUUUGUUUAUUGUCUCCCCUACAAGAACAUCAGCCCCACAAAGGUAAGGGAAUGUUUAUGUCGGUAUCUUGGUUUCUGGCACUUACCAGGGGUUCAGUAAAUACUUAUUGAAUUAAUCAGCGUAGACACUAAGUACAGUACUUGGCUCACUGUAAGCCCUCAAUACCUACUACUAUUACUGUUGUUGGGAGUCAGUUAUUUCGUCUAUCAAGCAAUAUUCGGUGAGGACAUGUGCUGUGCACCAUGCUCUAGCGCCAGAGAUGCAUCAGACAUUGAGCUCACCAUCUCCAGGGCAAAGAGGCACGAGGAGGGAGAAGCUGUCAAAUGUGGCAGGAACAAAUGCAGUUUUCAGUGAUGACAAGUGCAGUCCAUUGGGUCAUGUGACUGCAGGCAAACCCUUUCCCUCCCCCUCCUUAGACUCAUUUCUCUGUGUGAACUCGUCCAAGGCCCAGCUAUGCUAUUUAAGGGAUCUUUGAGUUCUGCUAGGGCCCUCAGCCCUUUGGUGACAGCAGGCCUUGGGGUGCUAUGGAGGCUGGAGAAAAGCCCCUGGAGACCUCCCUGGAGAACGGGAGUCACGAGUGACGGGGCAAGAGUGCGCGUGCGGGUCACUGUGGACAUAUAGUUCUGAUGCCUGGGCCUGAAUUAAGGGGUAGCCGUGAGUGAAGACUUUACACAGGCCCUAGAGCCUCCACCCUAUGGAUGCCAAACAUGGGUGAGAUGAUGGGGGCGGGGAAGACACAGCUACAUGCAGGCACCUCGUGUUCCUCAUGACAAGGACACGCGGCGGCACCACCUCCUGGCAGGUGGAAGCCAAAGAUAGGCCAUAGGGUGACACUGCACAGGUGGCUGGGUUGGGGACAGGGCAGGGCUCAACAGGGCCCGCUGGGCCUGUGUACUGAGGGCCCCACCCAGGGCUGGGCAGCCCUGCUCCUCAGUGACAACGCUGGGACGUGGACCUGGGCAGAGGUGUCAGGGAGAUGGAAGCCAAGGGCUUCUGUGCCUGCUGGCCCUCUACCUGGCACAGCACCCUGCCCGCCCUGAAGAUCUCCGAAUGGCUGGCUCCUCCUCAGCCUUCUAGCUCAGCGCAAUCAUCACCCAACCCCCCUGGCUAAAGCCAACCUCUCAGGCAGGUGCUCUUGGUCACAUCUCCCUGCUUUAUUUCUAUCACGGCCCUUGUCACCACCUAAGAUGGCUGCAUUUAUUAUCCCUACUUCUUGGAUGAGAAAAGGGGCUCUCAGAAAUUAUAACAAUCCUCUCCCCUCCCCGAAGUGGCAACCAUGGGAUGGAAAGAGGCGGGUUUACCCACCUCUAAAACCAGCACCCUUUCAUGUCCUUCAACUGAACCUCAGGAGGUCCAGGGGCAUUCAUAGAGCUCCUACUACAUACUGUAGGAUGCUGUAUACACACUGCCUUGUGUCAACCAGGAGGGACAAGAGGCAUGUGGCUAGGAGCACAGGCGGGUAUAGAUCAAGAAUUGGGAGCCUCAUCUCUUGCUAUCAUAUUGCUGUGUGAUCUUGGGCAAGUCCCUUGACCCCUCUGGGUCUCAGCAUCUUCCAAUGCACAGUGAGGGGUCAGCUGAGGUGCCUUGAGGCCCUACACCGACAGCUCUAAUGACAACUGUAAAUGCUGCCGUCACAAGAAGGCAGCCCCUCAGUCAGUAACCUUGCACCCCCUAAUUUCCUUCACCCCUAUUCCAUGCAACCUCUGAUCUGCUUCCCAUCAUUAUAGGCUGGUUUUGCCUAUUUUAGAACUUCAUAUGAAUGGAUUCCUAUAGUAUGUGCUCUUUUGGGCCUACCUUCUUUCACUCACAUAAUACUUUUAGAGUCCUCCAUGCAGCUGAUAGAUCAAUAGUUCAUCCUUUUAAUUGCUGAAUAGUAUUCCCUUGUCUGGAUGUCCCACAGUGUGUGUAUCCAUUUCGCUGUUGGAUGUCUGGGUUGUUUCUAGGCUGGGACUGUUAUGACUCACACUUCUGUGAAAACGUUUAUAUACAAGCCUGUGUGGAGACAUAUGCCCUUGUUUCCUUUGGGUCUAAAGAUGUCAACUAUUUAUUUUUUUUGUUGUUGACAUUUAUUGGGCAAGUUAGAUACCAGGGUCUAUGUCAGCAUCUUAAAUGUUUUAUCUCUUCUAAUCCCUAAACUGUACCAAGGCCAGUUCUAAACUGGUUACACAUCUUAUCUCCUUAAUCGUCCUUAGCCUUUAAUCCUUACAGAUGACAAGAAUAAGAGCAAAAGCAAUACAGGUGGUCCAGGCUUACAACGGUUCAACUUAUGAUUUUUUGACUUUAUGAUGG